UACGGGGGGGGCAAGCGUUGUUCGGAAUUACUGGGCGUAAAGGGCUCGUAGGCGGCCAACUAAGUCAGACGUGAAAUCCCCAGGCUCAACCUGGGAACUGCGUCUGAUACUGGAUGGCUUGAAUUCGGGAGAGGGAUGCAGAAUUCCAGGUGUAGCGGUGAAAUGCGUAGAUAUCAGGAGGAACACCGGUGGCGAAGGCGGGUCUCUGGGCCGAUACUGACGCUGAGGCACGAAAGCGUGGGGAGCAAACAGG
Molecule: ribosomal RNA, 253 nt
Filed under: uncultured bacterium
Lineage: Bacteria
Description: partial 16S ribosomal RNA
Rfam family: Bacterial small subunit ribosomal RNA
Source: RNAcentral